This 240-nucleotide unclassified non-coding RNA is filed under the name soil metagenome. Its description in RNAcentral is "partial contains 5.8S ribosomal RNA, internal transcribed spacer 2, and large subunit ribosomal RNA". The record is from RNAcentral.
AACUGAUACUACCUGCGGGAACCUGCGGAAGGAUCAUUAAUGAGAAGCUGCCCCUCGUGGGUAGACCUCCCACCCUCUGUGAACUUACCUUUGUUGCUUUGGCAGGCCCGUCCUCUGGACCGCCGGCUUCGGCUGGCCCGUGCCUGCCAGAGGAUUCCAAACCCUGUCUGUCAGUGUUGUCUGAGUCUAUAUGAAAUCGUUAAAACUUUUAACAACGGAUCUCUAGAUCGGAAGAGCACA